This 276-nucleotide ribosomal RNA is filed under the name uncultured bacterium. RNAcentral describes it as "partial 16S ribosomal RNA". It matches the Rfam family "Bacterial small subunit ribosomal RNA", at positions 44 to 334 of the family's 1533-position model. The record is from RNAcentral.
GUGCCUAACACAUGCAAGUCGAACGAGAAAGUGGAGCAAUCCAUGAGUAAAGUGGCGACCGGGUGAGUAACACGUGACUAACCUACCUUCGAGUGGGGGAUAACCUCGGGAAACCGAGGCUAAUACCGCAUAACAUCGCAAGAUCAAAGCAGCAAUGCGCUGGAAGAGGGGGUCGCGGCUGAUUAGCUAGUUGGCGGGGUAACGGCCCACCAAGGCGAAGAUCGGUAGCCGGCCUGAGAGGGCGCACGGCCACACUGGAACUGAAACACGGUCCAG